Molecule: RNA transcript, 2039 nt
Organism: Mus musculus (house mouse)
Lineage: Eukaryota; Metazoa; Chordata; Mammalia; Rodentia; Muridae
Gene: Dus4l
Gene name: dihydrouridine synthase 4 like
Exons: 7
Source: RefSeq, marked validated
GCAGAAUCAAGGCGCCGCCCCACCUGCCCGGCCCGGGUUGCGUUUGGGAACCUAAGUACUACAAUCCUACGUGCAAGGAAAGACAGGUCGCCGCCGGGGCCUUCUCCCAUUCCGCUCCGGACGCAGCCACCGCGCCGAUCUCCAACACUGUCUUUUUCAGACUUGAAACUAACCUGUACACAUGAGAAGUGACUCCUUACCAACCACAAUAUGUCAAGAAAGAAAAAAAGACCCGAUAGAAAUGUUUCAUUCUGGACAGCUGGUAAAAGUCUGUGCCCCGAUGGUUCGAUAUUCAAAGUUAGCUUUUAGAACAUUAGUAAGAAAAUACUCUUGUGACCUGUGUUACACACCAAUGAUAAUUGCUGCUGAUUUUGUCAGAUCUAUAAAAGCCAGAGACAGUGAAUUUACCACAAACCAAGGUGAUUGCCCGUUGAUUGUUCAGUUUGCUGCUAAUGAUGCAAGACUUUUAUCUGAUGCUGCCCUGCUAGUCUGUCCCUAUGCAAAUGGAAUAGAUAUUAACUGUGGUUGCCCUCAGAGGUGGGCGAUGGCGGACGGUUAUGGAGCUUGCUUGAUCAACAAGCCAGAGCUUGUUCACGAUAUGGUGAGACAAGUGAGAAAUCGGGUGGAAAGCCCAAGGUUUUCAGUUUCCAUUAAGAUAAGGAUGCGGAUGACUCUUAAUCUCUCAAAGCCACAAAGUAAAAGCAGUGGGGAAAGAAAAAGACAUUUCUCACCAUAUUGUUUCCAAUAGUCAAAGUUCUAAAAGAACUAAAGCCAAGAUCUUGAAUGGGAACCAAUCACAGAACAAAAUCUUAUUAACAACGGCAUGAAUUGAUAAUAAAUACAGCAGAUGAAGUGUCUUAAUUAAUGUUGCAUUAAAAAUCUGUGUGCUAUACACAGCUGCAAUUUUGAAAUUAUAGGAUCCACGAUGACCUGGCAAGAACCAUAGAUCUUUGCCGGAAGGCUGAAGCAACAGGAGUGUCCUGGAUUACAGUUCAUGGAAGGACAGUUGAAGAAAGACACCAGCCAGUCCACUACGAUGCCAUUAAAAUGAUAAAGGAAAAUGUGUCUAUACCCAUAGUUGCUAAUGGAGACAUAAGAAGCUUAAAAGAAGCAGAAAAUGUGUGGCAGAUGACUGGGACAGAUGGUGUGAUGGUUGCAAGAGGACUUUUAACAAACCCAGCUAUGUUUGCUGGAUAUGAAGAAACCCCACUGAAAUGUAUCUGGGACUGGGUUGACAUCUCUCUUGAACUUGGAACUCCUUUUAUGUGCUUCCAUCAGCAUCUGAUGUACAUGAUGGAAAAGAUAACGUCAAGGCAGGAGAAGAGAGUAUUUAAUGCCUUGUCAAGCACAUCAGCAGUCCUGGACUACCUUACGGACCAUUAUGGUGAUGAGUCGCUUUCUAAAUCUUUGUAGUAGGUACUUCUUACCUACAUGGAACCACAUGAGGUUACAGCCUCGUAUUUCUUUUAAGUCUAUGGCUUUUAACAUCAGUACAACAGCAAUCCCUGGGGCCAGACAUGGCGGCACAUGUCUUUUAUCCAGCUACUCAGAAAACUAAAGGAAGAGGUUUGGAAAUUCUAGGCCAGCAAAACUUUAUCUGAAAGAAUAAACGGAACUUUUCCAUAACCAAGAACUCAAACCUGGGACUGUAGAGAUGGCUCACCAGUUAAAACCUCGCUGCUCUUCUACAGGACCUGAGCUCCAGUUCCAGGGGAUUCAACAGGCUUUUCAGGCCUCCUCAGGCACCAGCUAAGCACAAUGUGUACAGACAGCCAUGCAAGCAAAACAUUCAUACACAUAAAACUAGCAACAAUGGCCACAAAAAUCCGCCCGGUACUCCGUCCUCAUGGAUUCAGUAGAUUGUGAGCAGACCCAGAAGUUGUAAAGAACUCCGGAGUUUUGACCAUCCAAUAAUCCCAGAUCAAAUAUUGAAAACCUCUGCUUCUAAUCUUUAUGGGUGUGCGGGAUGGGUGGGGAUGGGAGUUUUACUAAAGGUAUUCUGUUUUUAAGUGUUUUAAAUAAAACUUUUCUAAUAGCAA